ACCAACCUAAGUUUCCUCAGUCAUAUCCUCUCUCCUUUCUCUCCCUCAUCCUCUCUUCUCUCUCUCCAUGAUUGUCAACCAUUUAGGCGGCGCUGGUGAUCAUGUUCUUGACGUAAUCGGUGUGGUCAGGGCAAUUUGCAUCUCUCUCUCUCUCUCAAUCUAUACUGAUUUUGUGUGUGUAUAUAUGUAUCAGUAAGACACAAAGAUGAUGUUGAUUAGAUUAAUUUGUCCUAAUUGACACCCACUGUUGUCGAUGAUCUUGAGCCUGCAUUCGUCCUCAUAUUCUUCUUUUUCUUCUUCUUCUGCUGCUAAAAUUCAAGCGGAGUGAACGAUCAAAGAAGGUCCCAGACACCAUUGGACUCAAGAUGAAAUCAAGUCCAUUUGGGACUCCCCUCUUCUCGAUCUCCUCUUUCAUGGGAAUGGGUGAUCAUUGACAAUAAUAAAGUUACUGAUGUAGCGGAAUUUGGACGAGGAGAUGGUGAUGUGAGCAAAUUAGAUUGCAAGUUGUGUGAGCAAAUCAAAUUGAAUUUUUUCUGGAUUGUGUGAAUUUUCUCCAGAUGACUGUGUGAAUUUUAUCUGGCUGUGAUCAUUGUUUGUAAUUUUGUGAAUUUUCUCCGGCUGUAUGAAUUUUUCUAACUGUGAUUACGGUGUGAAUUUUCUUUAAUUGUGGUCAUUGUUUGUAAUUUUGUAAAUUUUCUAUGGUUGUGGUUACCAUAUGAAUUUUCUCUGGCUA
This is a long non-coding RNA of Camellia sinensis, 733 nucleotides long. RefSeq lists it as uncharacterized. NCBI's taxonomy places the organism in Eukaryota, Viridiplantae, Streptophyta, Magnoliopsida, Ericales, Theaceae. The record is from RefSeq and is a predicted model, not a curated record.